RNAcentral lists this long non-coding RNA (209 nucleotides) under Capsella rubella. RNAcentral's name for it is "long non-coding RNA (CRUB_LNC005180)". The record is from RNAcentral. Lineage: Eukaryota; Viridiplantae; Streptophyta; Magnoliopsida; Brassicales; Brassicaceae.
UUGUUUUAGUGUCAUGACUUGUAAAACCAAGUUAUUUACUCUUUUUACGAAGUUAAUGAGUCGUCAUAUCAUCAUUGUUCUUCUAAUAAUCAGAGAAACACAAAACGAAAGCAAAGAGAAAUUAAAAGCAUGAAGAAAUGAAGUUUCCUUUGUUACUUAUUCGCAAGAGUCUGCUGAAGAAUUUUUCCAUUAGACAGACAGAGACAGGU